This 903-nucleotide long non-coding RNA is filed under the name Helianthus annuus (common sunflower). RNAcentral describes it as "hypothetical non coding rna". The record is from RNAcentral. Lineage: Eukaryota; Viridiplantae; Streptophyta; Magnoliopsida; Asterales; Asteraceae.
ACCUCUCUUUCAUUGCACAUAGGGAUCUGAACAAGAACCAUUGGGAAAGUGGAAGGAUCUUCAAGAUCAUAGCUUUGAUCAUCAAUGUUAAUCACUGGCUUUAUUUUCUUGAAUUUGAUCCAAAAGAAGCCAAUUCCAAGUAUGAAUCUAUCAAGAGACUGGAUCAAGAACAGCAACACACAGAACUGAGACAACAUGGUGAUAGAUGGAGCAAUAUAUUCAGCUCUGAAUGAAAUCCAACCCAUGUAAGACAAGUGUAACAGUCCCAUAGCUUCAUUAGGGAUAAAGUUCAAGUCCCAAUUUUGAAAAUAAGCAAACACUUCAACACACAAAGCGAAAAUAGAUAUAGCAAGAAAUGCUCUUAUGAAUCUGUACAUGAUCUUUUCUUUAAAGAAAAGUCUUGGAGAACCCCAUUGUUAUCCAUGGGAAGAAAGAGAGGAUUCUUUGAGCUUUGAGUAAAAGCAGCCAAGAAAACUGCUUUGUGCUUGCUGUUUUUUGCUUUUCAAGAAACACAGAUGUUUCUGAAUCAUCAACUUCUACUAAAGAGAUGUUGCUUGAUUUGUCUAUUGUGACCACCACAGAGCUUGGUGCCAUUUUCUUGAAGAUAAAUCCACAAAUCCCAGAUGGGAUUUUGCAGAAAAUGGAUCAAGAUUGAAGGAAAGUGAUGAAAGUUACUAAAUUUUGAGUAAAGACUGAUGACCCAUAUAACAAUUUGGAGUCUUGGAGGGUUUUAAGGUGAAAUCUGGAUCUUAAAGAAUGGAGAAUGGGGAAGUUGACUAGUCAAAGUGUGUGUUUUUUUAGAGAGAGAAAAGUGUGAUUGUUAUGUGAAAAAUGGAAGGUUCAUGGAGGUGGGUUUGAAGACUGGAAGUUUAAAUGUGGAAGGGUUUGUUUAAUUUCUUGGGU